GGUAUCAAAAUUGUUUUAUUGCCACAAUGAAUAUACACAUGUAGGUCAAGCCGAGCUAUGUAGACCUUUGUGUGUUUUUAUACGGAUUUGGCAGUGUUCGCCACUCCACCAGGCCACGGAUCAAUUUCUAAACAUGUCCUCUGGUCAGUCGGCCAGUGAGAUAAUCGGAGAGAGAUACAAAGAUGACGACAGAUACCUGUAUGAGUCUGUAUAUCGGGAGCAGCUAUAGAAACUUACAGUAUCGUGCUUAUGUUUACAUCAAUACGGUUAAAUUAAUUUACAAAGCUGCUCUCGAGACCUAAGAGGUGCCAGGCUGCCAAAAUUCCCAGAAAGAGUACAACUUGACUGCUGCCACCACGCACUUUUAGAAAUGAACAGUGGGCGAAGUACUUGGUGCGGUGCUAAGAAUAGAUCAGCGUUUCGUAAUUCUCGACAGUCGUGUGAAGAAAUAACACCGUUAUCCUGUUGACCUUGGAAGUCAGUCAGCCGUUUGCAUCCCAUUGACUUUUAUUUCAGAACUCUUUCAAUUUGUUUUAUUUCAAAAUAUGUUUAGAGUACAAACCAACCUUCAAACUUCGUUCAAGAAAAACCAGCUCAGAAUAAAGAGAUGAAUACUGGAACGCGGUGUUUAGAAAUAAGAACAAAUAAACUUGUUUGAUAACAAAAAAAAA
Ostrea edulis (European flat oyster) is the source of this 671-nucleotide long non-coding RNA. RefSeq lists it as uncharacterized. NCBI's taxonomy places the organism in Eukaryota, Metazoa, Mollusca, Bivalvia, Ostreida, Ostreidae. The transcript has 2 exons. The record is from RefSeq and is a predicted model, not a curated record.